Molecule: ribosomal RNA, 403 nt
Filed under: uncultured bacterium
Lineage: Bacteria
Description: partial 16S ribosomal RNA
Rfam family: Bacterial small subunit ribosomal RNA
Source: RNAcentral
GAAGAACGCUGGCGGCGUGCCUAAUACAUGCAAGUCGAACGCAGUGGGGACGGGUGAUUAACACGUGGGUAACCUCCCAUCAGAGGGGAUAACGCUUGGAAACAGGUGCUAAACCCAUAUUGAUUGAUGUACACGCGGUGCAUUAGCUAGUUGGUGAGGUAACGGCUCACCAAGGCCACGAUGAAUAGCCGACCUGAGAGGGGGAUCGGCCACACUGGGACUGAGACACGGCCCAGACUCCUACGGGAGGCAGCAGUGGGGAAUCUUCGGCAAUGGACGAAAGCCUGACCGAGCAACGCCGCGUGAGUGAAGAAGGUUUUCGGAUCGUAAAACUCUGUUGUUAGAGAAGCGGUAUCUAACCAGAAAGCAACGGCUAACUACGUGCCAGCAGCCGCGGUAAUAC